Molecule: transfer RNA, 71 nt
Organism: Aspergillus aculeatus ATCC 16872
Lineage: Eukaryota; Fungi; Ascomycota; Eurotiomycetes; Eurotiales; Aspergillaceae
Rfam family: tRNA
About the family: Transfer RNA (tRNA) molecules are approximately 80 nucleotides in length.
Source: Rfam
GGUGCUGUGGUCUAGUGGUAUGACGUCACGUUGUGGCCGUGCCAGCCCCGGUUCGAUUCCGGGCAGCGCCA